Molecule: transfer RNA, 82 nt
Filed under: Jannaschia aquimarina
Lineage: Bacteria; Pseudomonadati; Pseudomonadota; Alphaproteobacteria; Rhodobacterales; Roseobacteraceae
Description: Jannaschia sp. GSW-M26 tRNA
Rfam family: tRNA
About the family: Transfer RNA (tRNA) molecules are approximately 80 nucleotides in length. Their secondary structure includes four short double-helical elements and three loops (D, anti-codon, and T loops). Further hydrogen bonds mediate the characteristic L-shaped molecular structure. tRNAs have two regions of fundamental functional importance: the anti-codon, which is responsible for specific mRNA codon recognition, and the 3' end, to which the tRNAs corresponding amino acid is attached (by aminoacyl-tRNA synthetases). tRNAs cope with the degeneracy of the genetic code in two manners: having more than one tRNA (with a specific anti-codon) for a particular amino acid; and 'wobble' base-pairing, i.e. permitting non-standard base-pairing at the 3rd anti-codon position.
Source: Rfam by way of RNAcentral
GCGGGUGUGGCGAAACUGGUAGACGCACCAGAUUUAGGUUCUGGCGCCGCGAGGCGUGGGGGUUCGAGUCCCUCCACCCGCA